This 509-nucleotide ribosomal RNA is filed under the name uncultured soil bacterium. Its description in RNAcentral is "bacterial SSU rRNA". It matches the Rfam family "Bacterial small subunit ribosomal RNA", at positions 26 to 522 of the family's 1533-position model. The record is from RNAcentral.
AGAGUGAACGCUGGCGGUAGGCCUAACACAUGCAAGUCGAACGGCAGCACAGUAGGAGCUUGCUCUUACGGGUGGCGAGUGGCGGACGGGUGAGGAAUACAUCGGAAUCUACCUUUUGGUGGGGGAUAACGUAGGGAAACUUACGCUAAUACCGCAUACGCCCUUCGGGGGAAAGCCGGGGACCAGCAAUGGCCUGGCGCUGAUAGAUGAGCCGAUGUCGGAUUAGCUAGUUGGUGAGGUAAUGGCUCACCAAGGCGACGAUCCGUAGCUGGUCUGAGAGGAUGAUCAGCCACACUGGAACUGAGACACGGUCCAGACUCCUACGGGAGGCAGCAGUGGGGAAUAUUGGACAAGUGGGCGCAAGCCUGAUCCAGCCAUACCGCGUGGUGAAGAAGGCCUUCGGUUGUAAAGCCCGUUUUGUUGGAAAGAAAAGCUAAUUCGGUUAAUACCCGGUGUUCGUGACGGUACCAAAGAAUAAGCACGGCUAACUCGUGCCAGCAGCCGCGUAA